RNAcentral lists this ribosomal RNA (392 nucleotides) under uncultured bacterium. RNAcentral describes it as "partial 16S ribosomal RNA". It matches the Rfam family "Bacterial small subunit ribosomal RNA", at positions 523 to 918 of the family's 1533-position model. The record is from RNAcentral.
AUACGGAGGAUCCGAGCGUUAUCCGGAUUUAUUGGGCUUAAAGGGUGCGCAGGCGGCCAUUUAAGUCAGCGGUUAAAUCGUGGGGCUCAACCCCAUUCUGCCGUUGAUACUGGGUGGCUUGAUUGCGGGCGAGGGUGGCGGAAUUCGUUGGGUAGGGGGGAAAUGCAUAGAUAUGACGAAGAACACCGAUUGCGUAGGCAGCUGACCAGAUCGCAAAUGACGCUCAUGCACGAAAGUGCGGGGAUCGAACAGGAUUAGAUACCCUGGUAGUCCGCACAGUAAACGAUGAAUACUUGUUUUCGGCGAUAUAAUGUCGGAGGCAAAGCGAAAGCGAUAAGUAUUCCACCUGGGGAGUACGCCGGCAACGGUGAAACUCAAAUGAAUUGGCGGGG